GCAAGUCGAGCGAGAAAGCCUUCGGGUGGUGGAGAGCGGCGAACGGGUGAGUAACGCGUAGGUAUCUACCUAGUAGUGGGGAAUAACCAUUGGAAACGAUGGCUAAAACCGCAUACGCCCUGAGGGGGAAAACUGAGGUGCUAUUAGAGGAGCCUGCGUUAGAUUAGCUAGUUGGUGAGGUAAUGGCUCACCAAGGCGACGAUCUAUAGCUGGUUUGAGAGGAUGAUC
This 228-nucleotide ribosomal RNA is filed under the name uncultured bacterium. RNAcentral describes it as "partial 16S ribosomal RNA". It matches the Rfam family "Bacterial small subunit ribosomal RNA", at positions 57 to 305 of the family's 1533-position model. The record is from RNAcentral.